UUUCCAUGAUGAAUGAAUCAAGAAUUCUGCAAUUCGGACAAUCUCCUCUCUUGUGAGAUUGCAUGUUGACUCUUCUACACUUGAUCUGACU
RNAcentral lists this small nucleolar RNA (91 nucleotides) under Aspergillus brasiliensis CBS 101740. Its description in RNAcentral is "A. fumigatus snoRNA Afu_191". It matches the Rfam family "A. fumigatus snoRNA Afu_191". Lineage: Eukaryota; Fungi; Ascomycota; Eurotiomycetes; Eurotiales; Aspergillaceae. The record is from Rfam by way of RNAcentral.